RNAcentral lists this unclassified non-coding RNA (244 nucleotides) under plant metagenome. RNAcentral's name for it is "partial contains small subunit ribosomal RNA, internal transcribed spacer 1, and 5.8S ribosomal RNA". The record is from RNAcentral.
UCUCCGUUGGUGAACCAGCGGAGGGAUCAUUACCGAGUUUACAACUCCCAAACCCAAUGUGAACUAUACCAAACUGUUGCCUCGGCGGGGUCACGCCCCGGGUGCGUCGCAGCCCCGGAACCAGGCGCCCGCCGGAGGGACCAACCAAACUCUUUCUGUAGUCCCCUCGCGGACGUUAUUUUUACAGCUCUGAGCAAAAAUUCAAAAUGAAUCAAAACUUUCAACAACGGAUCUCUUGGUUCUG